RNAcentral lists this ribosomal RNA (253 nucleotides) under Ruminococcus champanellensis 18P13 = JCM 17042. RNAcentral's name for it is "partial 16S ribosomal RNA". It matches the Rfam family "Bacterial small subunit ribosomal RNA", at positions 524 to 776 of the family's 1533-position model. Lineage: Bacteria; Bacillati; Bacillota; Clostridia; Eubacteriales; Oscillospiraceae. The record is from RNAcentral.
UACGUAGGGAGCGAGCGUUGUCCGGAAUUACUGGGUGUAAAGGGAGUGUAGGCGGGAAUGCAAGUCAGAUGUGAAAACUAUGGGCUUAACCCAUAGACUGCAUUUGAAACUGUGUUUCUUGAGUGAAGUAGAGGUAAGCGGAAUUCCUAGUGUAGCGGUGAAAUGCGUAGAUAUUAGGAGGAACAUCAGUGGCGAAGGCGGCUUACUGGGCUUUUACUGACGCUGAGGCUCGAAAGCGUGGGGAGCAAACAGG